UGCAGUCGAGGGGUAUAAGUCUUCGGACUUAGAGACCGGCGCACGGGUGCGUAACGCGUAUGCAAUCUACCUUUCACAGAGGGAUAGCCCAGAGAAAUUUGGAUUAAUACCUCAUAGUAUUAUGGAAUGGCAUCAUUUUAUAAUUAAAGUCACAACGGUGAAAGAUGAGCAUGCGUCCCAUUAGCUAGUUGGUAAGGUAACGGCUUACCAAGGCUACGAUGGGUAGGGGUCCUGAGAGGGAGAUCCCCCACACUGGUACUGAGACACGGACCAGACUCCUACGGGAGGCAGCAGUGAGGAAUAUUGGACAAUGGGCGCAAGCCUGAUCCAGCCAUGCCGCGUGCAGGAUGACGGUCCUAUGGAUUGUAAACUGCUUUUGCACAGGAAGAAACACUGAUUCGUGAAUCAGCUUGACGGUACUGUGAGAAUAAGGAUCGGCUAACUCCGUGCCAGCAGCCGCGGUAAUACGGAGGAUCCAAGCGUUAUCCGGAAUCAUUGGGUUUAAAGGGUCCGUAGGCGGUCUAGUAAGUCAGUGGUGAAAGCCCAUCGCUCAACGGUGGAACGGCCAUUGAUACUGCUGGACUUGAAUUACUGGGAAGUAACUAGAAUAUGUAGUGUAGCGGUGAAAUGCUUAGAGAUUACAUGGAAUACCAAUUGCGAAGGCAGGUUACUACCGGUGGAUUGACGCUGAUGGACGAAAGCGUGGGUAGCGAACAGGAUUAGAUACCCUGGUAGUCCACGCCGUAAACGAUGGAUACUAGCUGUUGGAAGCAAUUUCAGUGGCUAAGCGAAAGUGAUAAGUAUCCC
This 807-nucleotide ribosomal RNA is filed under the name Flavobacterium sp. Its description in RNAcentral is "bacterial SSU rRNA". It matches the Rfam family "Bacterial small subunit ribosomal RNA", at positions 56 to 870 of the family's 1533-position model. The record is from RNAcentral. Lineage: Bacteria; Pseudomonadati; Bacteroidota; Flavobacteriia; Flavobacteriales; Flavobacteriaceae.